GUACACGCUGUGACUAGCAUAUCAAUAAGCGGAGGAAAAGAAACUAACAAGGAUUCCCCUAGUAACGGCGAGUGAAGCGGGAAGAGCUCAAAUUUGAAAUCUUAAAGGGUUUCCCUUUACGAAUUGUAGUUUAAAGAAGUGUUUUCUGUUGAGGUUUUGGUAAAAGUUCUUUGGAAUAGGACAUCAUAGAGGGUGAGAAUCCCGUAUUUGACCUUUACUUUCAACUUUGUGAUACACUUUCAAAGAGUCGGAUUGUUUGGGAAUGCAGUCCAAAAUGGGUGGUAAAUUUCAUCUAAAGCUAAAUAUUGGCGAGAGACCGAUAGCGAACAAGUACCGUGAGGGAAAGAUGAAAAGAACUUUGAAAAGAGAGUUAAACAGUACGUGAAAUUGUCAAAAGGGAAGCGUUUGACACCAGUGUUGUUUUUCUGAAAAUCAAUUAAAGAACUGUUUAUGCUAAGCUGUUUAGACUUUAUCAGCUAUCUGUUUAGUUUUGAGCUUUUCUUUAAUGCACUUUUCAGUUAACAAGUCAACAUCAAUUUCUUUUGCUGUAAAAAAGCUUGAGGAAGGUGGCUUGAGAUUCGUCUUAAGUGUUUAUAGCCUCUUGCCUAUGCAGUCGGAGAGAUUGAGGUCUGCAGCGUAGAUCCUUCGGGGCUAAAUGCAUUUGUGCUAAGUUAUAGCAUUUCAUAGACAACUUGUUGACUAUGAUUUGUCUUGUAGCUUACUCGCUUAUGUUAUUUUACCUACGCUUAGGAUGUUGACUGAUAUGUAGUCGU
Molecule: ribosomal RNA, 773 nt
Filed under: uncultured Neocallimastigales
Lineage: Eukaryota; Fungi; Neocallimastigomycota; Neocallimastigomycetes; Neocallimastigales
Description: partial large subunit ribosomal RNA
Rfam family: Eukaryotic large subunit ribosomal RNA
Source: RNAcentral